Molecule: ribosomal RNA, 468 nt
Filed under: uncultured bacterium
Lineage: Bacteria
Description: partial 16S ribosomal RNA
Rfam family: Bacterial small subunit ribosomal RNA
Source: RNAcentral
GACGAACGCUGGCGGCGUGCUUAACACAUGCAAGUCGAACGGAAAGGCCCUGCUUUUGUGGGGUGCUCGAGUGGCGAACGGGUGAGUAACACGUGAGUAACCUGCCCUUGACUUUGGGAUAACUUCAGGAAACUGGGGCUAAUACCGGAUAGGAGCUCCUGCUGCAUGGUGGGGGUUGGAAAGUUUCGGCGGUUGGGGAUGGACUCGCGGCUUAUCAGCUUGUUGGUGGGGUAGUGGCUUACCAAGGCUUUGACGGGUAGCCGGCCUGAGAGGGUGACCGGCCACGAUGGGACUGAGAUACGGACCAGACUACUACGGGAGGCAGCAGUGGGGAGUAUUGCACAAGGGCCGGGAGCCUGAAGCCGCAACGCCGCGUGCGGGAUGACGGGCUACGGGUUGUAGGCCAAAUUCGCCUGUGACGAAGCGUGAAUGACGGUAAUGGGUAAAGAAGCACCGGCUAACUACAUG